CAGCAGCCGCGGUAAUUCGGGGGAUGCAAGUGUUAUCCGGAAUUACUGGGCGUAAAGCGUCUGUAGGUUGUUUAAUAAGUCAACUGUUAAAUCUUGAGGCUUAACCUCAAAACAGCAGUCGAAACUAUUAGACUAGAGUAUAGUAGGGGUAAAGGGAAUUUCCAGUGGAGCGGUGAAAUGCGUAGAUAUUGGAAAGAACACCGAUGGCGAAAGCACUUUACUGGGCUAUUACUAACACUCAGAGACGAAAGCUAGGGUAGCAAAUGGGAUUAGAUACCCCAGUAGUCCUAGCUGUAAACAAUGGAUACUAGAUGUUGAACAGAUCGACCUGUGCAGUAUUAAAGCUAACGCGUUAAGUAUCCCGCCUGGGAAGUAUGCUCGCAAGAGUGAAACUCAAAGGAAUUGACGG
RNAcentral lists this ribosomal RNA (409 nucleotides) under uncultured bacterium. RNAcentral describes it as "bacterial SSU rRNA". It matches the Rfam family "Bacterial small subunit ribosomal RNA", at positions 509 to 916 of the family's 1533-position model. The record is from RNAcentral.